RNAcentral lists this ribosomal RNA (158 nucleotides) under uncultured fungus. Its description in RNAcentral is "5.8S ribosomal RNA". It matches the Rfam family "5.8S ribosomal RNA". From Rfam's summary of the family: 5.8S ribosomal RNA (5.8S rRNA) is a component of the large subunit of the eukaryotic ribosome. It is transcribed by RNA polymerase I as part of the 45S precursor that also contains 18S and 28S rRNA. Lineage: Eukaryota; Fungi. The record is from RNAcentral.
AACUUUCAACAACGGAUCUCUUGGCUCUCGCAUCGAUGAAGAACGCAGCGAAAUGCGAUAAGUAAUGUGAAUUGCAGAUUUUCAGUGAAUCAUCGAAUCUUUGAACGCACCUUGCGCCCCUUGGUAUUCCGAGGGGCAUGCCUGUUUGAGUGUCAUUG